Long non-coding RNA from Gadus morhua (Atlantic cod), 2675 nucleotides. RefSeq lists it as uncharacterized. The transcript is spliced from 3 exons. The record is from RefSeq and is a predicted model, not a curated record. Lineage: Eukaryota; Metazoa; Chordata; Actinopteri; Gadiformes; Gadidae.
UGGAAUUUAAAAGUAGGGUGGCUGCGGGAACAAAAGAGUGUUUAUAUCUGUUGGUUUUGAGUCGUGGGAGUUUAAAGCGUGAUCCGGAUGGCAACAUCUGAAAUUCAGCCUGUAGGGGAUGAGAACUAUUUGACAGGAUAGAUUCAACCCUUUUUAUCAUCUGCUUCUGAUAAAGUUCCUCCAGGCCUUUCUGAUUAGAACCUGUGAUCCGGCUGCUCACCUUAACUAGGGAGUUCUUUUGUUUUACGGUGAUAGACCCAUACCAGCAGAUUAAGGAGAAGGUGACAACUGACUCAACAAAGGACCUAUAGAAAAGGGUCAUCAGGGUCCACAUUAAACUUGGCCAGCUUCCCAAGGCAAUACAGGCGUAUUGGCCGUAUGGCCUUUCUUGCAAAGAAAGCUGGUAUUUCGCUCAAAUCACAACUUGUCGUCAAUAAUGGAUCCUAAGUAUUUGUACUCUUUAAGCACCUCGAUUUCCUAACCUUUUAUGCAGGUUUUUACCUAGUUAACUCAUUGGCUGCCAAUGACGUCUAUAGACGUCAAUUUAAAUACAACCGUUGACUGCCAAUGACGUCUAUAGACGUCAAUUAGGUUUUUCAACGGGGCGGGCUGGGGAGCGAUCUGGAGCACCUUGUCACAAAAAAUCAGGCUUGUAAACAGAGAAUGUACUACCGAACUGAGCCGCUAGGUGGGUGGGGGCGCUGUGCCAAAUUGGAUCGGAGAUGAGGAAACAGUAGCCUAAUGGGUUAAGAAAGUGAGCAUGGCGCCCGCGAAACGUAAGCAAAAUUUCAGACUGCUAACACUCGAACAGAGUAUGUGUCUCAGUGUCGCUAUCGACUCGGUUGGUUGCGAUAAAGCCUCUGACAAAAAAAACCCGGGCCAAUAGAGAGAGUAGGCCUACGCAGCGUAUUUCCACCUCCGAAUCAUCAGGAGAUGAUUCAGCGAACCUGACCCGGAUUCGUCAGAUGAGUGGUUGCCGUCAACCGGGAACAGCAGAGCCUCAUCCCCUGACGCGUCUCCAGGAAGACGUGAGGGAGGUAAGAGCUAACUUUACCCUUCUCUCCUCCUUCAGUCCGUCACAUGAACGCCAUUUAGUCCCAUUAGUUCAUUACUGCAGCUAAUAUGUGUUGCCAGUAGCCUACUGAUGUGAAGGGAUUUACAAUUUACAGAUCGUGCGUCCAGCAGAGCUCACACUCCCACUCCCACUGUUAGCUUCAGUCCAUGUCCCAUUGAACGCCAUUUAGUCCCACUAGUUCAUAUUGUAACAUCUGUUGCCAGCCUACUGAUGUGAAGCAAUUUUCAAUUUACAGAUCAUGCAUCCAGCAGAGCUCCCAAUCCUGUUGGCAAAGCGAAGAAGAAAGGUCGUGCAUCCAGCAGAGCUCCGACUCCUAUUGGCAAAGCGAAGAAGAAAGGUCGUGCAUCAAGCAGAGGUUGCGGGUAUGACUGGCAUCAAGCUGGCUGGCACCCAAACAAUUUCCCCUUCACUGCAACCCCUGGACCCCGGAGGGCUGCUGCGGAGCUGGAUAGCGACCUGCCAGCUGACUUCCUGACGCUCUUCCUGACUGACGAGCUGCUCCAAAAUAUUGUGGAUCAGACCAACCUGUAUAUCAAUAUUUUGAAGCACACCCUGACAAUCUGCCAUAUAGCAGAGGAAAUGCAUGAAAACCAGUGUCAGUCCCAGAAUUGAAAACUUUCUUUGGACUCAGUUUUCUCACUGGUUAUAUCAAAAAGCCUAGCCUUGAACUGUACUGGAGUGUUGAUGAGGUAGAUGCCACACCCCAUUUCGGCAAGACUAUGCCAAGGAACAGAUUUCAGAUUAUAUGGAGGUUCCUUCAUUUCAACAAUAAUGCAUCACAGGAUGCAACUGACAAAAUGUACAAAGUCCGCCCAGUGUUAGAUUACAUUGUGGAAAAGUAAAAGGAGAUGUAUCAACCAGGCCAAAACAUUUGCAUUGAUGAGGGUAUGAUGCAGUGGCGGGGGCGCCUGUCUUUCAGGGUGUAUAACCCACAAAAGCCUGUGAAAUAUGGAAUCAAAUCCUACAUACUGUGUGACUCUGCCACAGGGUACUGCUUCAAUAUGCGUCCUUAUGUUGGGGAAGCUAGUACUCUGCCAGAGAUAGUGUUCUUUCUCCUUGAUAGUCUACCAGGUCAUGGCUAUACAUUGUUCAUGGAUAACUUCUACAAUUCUGUAGCACUGUGUGAACGUUUACUGGGAGUGCAAACCAACGUCUGUGGAACACUGAGGAAACAUAGGGGGGAACCUCAGAUCAUCAGCGAGAUGACAAAGACUGACUUGGGGGUGGGGGAAAAAGUUGUGCGGCACAAUGAGAGGGUGAUGGUAGUAGCAUGGCAGGACAAACGGUUGGUGAGGAUGGUGACUACCUGCCACCAAGAUAGCAUGCAGAGGGUUGAUGUGUGGAGGAGGGGAAACAAAGACAAGGUUGCUCAGCUCAAGCCAGAGUGUGUUGUUGUGUACAAUGCAUCCAUGAAUGGGGUAGACAAGUUGGACCAAAAUAUUGCAUACUAUCCCUUCAUCCGAAGAUCGCUGAACUGUUCAAAGAAGUUUGUAGCCUAUCUCUUCCAACUAUGCAUUUUUAACGCCUAUGUCCUCUACCGAGCCAGAAACCCAGGGGAGUGUAAAAUCCUCUUGGACAGUAAAGCGACAUGUGGGGGGUU